UACGAAGGGGGCUAGCGUUGUUCGGAAUCACUGGGCGUAAAGGGCGUGUAGGCGGUCAAGUAAGUGGAAUGUGAAAGCCCCCGGCUUACCCGGGGAUCUGCAUCCCAAACUGCUUGGCUUGAGUACGGGAGAGGAUAGGGGAAUUCCUGGUGUAGCGGUGAAAUGCGUAGAUAUCAGGAGGAACACCGGUGGCGAAGGCGCCUAUCUGGCCCGAUACUGACGCUGAGGCGCGAAAGCUAGGGGAGCAAACGGG
RNAcentral lists this ribosomal RNA (253 nucleotides) under uncultured bacterium. RNAcentral describes it as "partial 16S ribosomal RNA". It matches the Rfam family "Bacterial small subunit ribosomal RNA", at positions 524 to 776 of the family's 1533-position model. The record is from RNAcentral.